Molecule: ribosomal RNA, 506 nt
Filed under: uncultured bacterium
Lineage: Bacteria
Description: partial 16S ribosomal RNA
Rfam family: Bacterial small subunit ribosomal RNA
Source: RNAcentral
AGUGAACGCUGGCGGUAGGCCUAACACAUGCAAGUCGAACGGCCUCCCCGGAGAGCUUGCUCUCUGGGUGGUGAGUGGCGGACGGGUGAGGAAUACAUCGGAAUCUACUUUUUCGUGGUUUCGAACGUAGGGAAACUUACGCUAAUACCGCAUACGACCUACGGGUGAAAGCAGGGGAGCGUCGGACCUUGCGCGAUUGAAUGAGCCGAUGUCGGAUUAGCUAAUUGGCGGGGUAAAGGCCCACCAAGGCGACGAUCCGUAGCUGGUCUGAGAGGAUGAUCAGCCACACUGGAACUGAGAGACGGUCCAGACUCCUACGGGAGGCAGCAGUGGGGAAUAUUGCAAAAGGCGCGCAAGCCUGAUCCAGCCAUACCGCGUGGGUGACAACAGACUUCGGGUGGGACAGCCCUUUUGUUGGGAAAGAAAUCCAGAUGUUUAAUCAACGGUUGGGAUGACGGUACCCAAAGAAUAAGCACCGGCUAACUUAGAGCCAGCCGCCGCAGUAA